RNAcentral lists this ribosomal RNA (164 nucleotides) under Tanacetum cinerariifolium. RNAcentral's name for it is "5.8S ribosomal RNA". It matches the Rfam family "5.8S ribosomal RNA". Rfam says of the family: 5.8S ribosomal RNA (5.8S rRNA) is a component of the large subunit of the eukaryotic ribosome. It is transcribed by RNA polymerase I as part of the 45S precursor that also contains 18S and 28S rRNA. The record is from RNAcentral. Lineage: Eukaryota; Viridiplantae; Streptophyta; Magnoliopsida; Asterales; Asteraceae.
CAAACGACUCUCGGCAACGGAUAUCUCGGCUCACGCAUCGAUGAAGAACGUAGCAAAAUGCGAUACUUGGUGUGAAUUGCAGAAUCCCGUGAACCAUCGAGUUUUUGAACGCAAGUUGCGCCCGACGCCUUUUGGCCGAGGGCACGUCUGCCUGGGCGUCACGC